RNAcentral lists this long non-coding RNA (366 nucleotides) under Anser brachyrhynchus (Pink-footed goose). Its description in RNAcentral is "lncRNA (ENSABRG00000014079.1)". The record is from RNAcentral. Lineage: Eukaryota; Metazoa; Chordata; Aves; Anseriformes; Anatidae.
CACACUCCAUCUACUAAUGUAUUGUUUGCUUCCUAACUGGGGAACACCUGCAUUAGAACUCAUAUUUAUAAAUUAAAUUGCAAUUAAGAUGCAGAGAAGCUGGACACAUCAGAUCUAUGAAGGCAGCACAACUACAAAAGAAAUAAUAGCAGGUUAUUGGUACCUUCCUAACAAACCAAGAUAGGUUUGGGAAGUUCAGCUCAGUGGUCAAUGAUUCAUGUGGAAAAGAUGGAUGUAUUGAGGAAAUCAAAAAAAUCUAUAGAUAUCCUACUGAAAUACCUGCUGUGGUGUGUACUCCUUGUCUUAUCAGUGGAGUACCCCUUCUCCUCUCUGAAACCUCAGAGAAGCUGCAGUCUUCUGUUGCCA